This is a long non-coding RNA of Papaver somniferum (opium poppy), 1378 nucleotides long. RefSeq lists it as uncharacterized. NCBI's taxonomy places the organism in Eukaryota, Viridiplantae, Streptophyta, Magnoliopsida, Ranunculales, Papaveraceae. The record is from RefSeq and is a predicted model, not a curated record. The transcript is spliced from 4 exons.
CCUCUCGAUUUCUUCUCAUAAAAAUCAAAUCGACGAGAUUUGGAGCUGCUCGUGAUGCCACAGAAAAGAAAUGGUCGUGUUGUUAUUUAAGUUGAUUCACAUGAUGGUGGCUGUCGAGAAUUAGGGUUGAUUCUGUGAAGAACCAUGAGAAGAUUUGAUGAAGAUUAAAUGGGUUUUUGCUCUGGAUCUGAGACAGGGAAAGUACAAUGGUGCUAUUGAUUGAUUCAAAAACACACGAAAGAUGGUGGCGUUGUUGAGAUCGAGAAGCUGUUGUUGGUGGUGUUUGAAGAGCGACUACAAUCGAAACUUUUGGGAUUGAAUGACAUUGGAACGGUGGUGAAGAUGGUGGUGAUUAGCUUUUGAUAAAUUCAGAAGCUAGGGUUUUUAAUUGAUCGUCGAUGGGUGGAUGUUCUUGAGAUGAAAUAUGGAUAAAGCUGCUGUUGUUAGAAUUGGAAAUGGAUUGAAUACAGUGAAAGCAGAGACGAAUUGAGGUGAUGAAGCUGCAAACUGGUGGUGUUAUGAAGGCUGAAUGGUGUUGUUGCAGUAGCAGAAUGAUAUGAGCAAUGGAAUACUGCUCUUAGGUGUGAAGGUUGGAAAUCAAAAGCUGGUGAAGAAACUGGUUAAGUGUGAGAACUGGAUUCGAGAUGACACAAUCGAUCAGAGGAAUCAAAAGCGAAAUGGUGGUUAAAUAGGUUAAUUGGUUGAACAAAGAAGGUUGCAGUUGAUUGGGCAUACCCAUUCGAAGAGAAGAAGUUGUUUGUGCUUACGCUUAGUGUUGGCUUAGAAGGUUAUCAUGUCCAUAGUGAUGGGAGGCAUGUAACCUCUUUCCCUUACCACACCGAUUUGUUCUUGAGGAUGCUGCUGGUUUAUCACUGUAUAUGGGGAUAUUGAAGUGCAUUCCAUUUUUGCGGCUACCUUACCAACAUCGCAUCCAAGUUUUGAACCACAGAGGCAUCUAGAGAUGUCUAGUGCUUGGCAAGCCCUACCUCUUUCUGAUGGACCUGUGGAACUUUUCAUAGGUAUCCUUUCUGCUGGAAACCAUUUCACAGAGAGGAUGGUUGUUAGGAAGUCAUGGAUGCAGUCUAAACUGAUCAAAUUGGCAAAUGUGGUUGCUUGAUUAUUUGUAGCACCGAAUGGAAGAAAGGAAGUGAAUGUAGAGCUAAAGAAAGAAGCAUAAUUUUUUGGUGAUAUUGUUAUUGUCCCCUUUAUGGACAGUAUACAAAUGAAUUUUUGGUGGGUAGAAAAGAGGGUACUAAGAGCAAUUGCAGUGGUGCGAGUAUAACCAAAGACCAAAGAGGGAAAAAAAGACCAAAUUUUGGGUUUAGUCUGGUGUGUGACGUUACGGUGGAAAAAUUAAAUUUGGUCAGACGUACGUUAU